Non-coding RNA from Cinara cedri, 284 nucleotides. Lineage: Eukaryota; Metazoa; Arthropoda; Insecta; Hemiptera; Aphididae. The record is from the annotation of a GenBank genome assembly.
CGAAGUUAGAUUUAUUACGUAUUAAUGAACUAUUAUUUACGUUGGCAUUUUAUGUUUUUGUUGAAACUAGUUUAAAUAGAAAUUUCCUUUCCUCCAAACUUGGUUUUUCUUCAUAUGAUAUAUUUAGAUGAGACCGCGACUAUAUGAAUUCCGGUGUUAGUUUAGGUAGUGGAGUUCUAAUUUGCGUAGAAAAAACAUUUCUUUUGAACGUCUAUUCGUACCGUCUAGCCCGGACUUUGAGCAUUUAUUUAUUUACGUCCGCAUUAAUAAUACAAAUGUUAUAU